UUUCUCACCCGUUCAACCAUAAGAACCAUUUCAAUGCUAUUAGUCUCAUCAGGGUUAAUAUAGUUUGGCAUAGUCCACAAUCGUAUUACCCUGACCUUGAUCCUCCAUUCUGUUUUAUUGGGAUUAAUGUGAGCGACAUAGUUCACAUUUCUAGCCAUUUUCUAACUUCCUGAAGUAUUGAUAAUAGAUAUAUCGCAUUAAUUAGCAAAUAUUAAUAACCAAAUGAUACAUACUUUGGACACA
This 243-nucleotide long non-coding RNA is filed under the name Elaeis guineensis (African oil palm). RNAcentral describes it as "long non-coding RNA (EGUI_LNC025415)". The record is from RNAcentral. Lineage: Eukaryota; Viridiplantae; Streptophyta; Magnoliopsida; Arecales; Arecaceae.